AAACCAACAGGGAUUACCUCAGUAACGGCGAGUGAAGCGGUAACAGCUCAAAUUUGAAAUCUGGCCCUUUCAGGGUCCGAGUUGUAAUUUGUAGAAGAUGCUUUGGGUGUGGCUCCGGUCUAAGUUCCUUGGAACAGGACGUCAUAGAGGGUGAGAAUCCCGUAUGUGACCGGUGGCUUUCGCCCGUGUAAAGCUCUUUCGACGAGUCGAGUUGUUUGGGAAUGCAGCUCAAAAUGGGUGGUAUAUUUCAUCUAAAGCUAAAUAUUGGCCAGAGACCGAUAGCGCACAAGUAGAGUGAUCGAAAGAUGAAAAGCACUUUGGAAAGAGAGUUAAACAGUACGUGAAAUUGUUGAAAGGGAAGCGCUUGCAACCAGACUCGCGCGCCGUUGAUCAUCCGGGGUUCUCCCCGGUGCACUCGGCGGCGCUCGGGCCAGCAUCAGUUUGGGUGGUGGGAUAAAGGCCUUGGGAAUGUAGCUCCCCUCGGGGAGUGUUAUAGCCCUCGGUGCAAUGCCACCUACCCGGACUGAGGACCGCGCUUCGGCUAGGAUGCUGGCGUAAUGGUUGUAAGCGA
Molecule: ribosomal RNA, 571 nt
Filed under: Trichopeziza mollissima
Lineage: Eukaryota; Fungi; Ascomycota; Leotiomycetes; Helotiales; Tricladiaceae
Description: partial 28S ribosomal RNA
Rfam family: Eukaryotic large subunit ribosomal RNA
Source: RNAcentral